UAGUCAAUGAAUUGGAUGUCUCUGCCGGGC
RNAcentral lists this non-coding RNA (30 nucleotides) under Mus musculus (house mouse). The record is from RNAcentral. Lineage: Eukaryota; Metazoa; Chordata; Mammalia; Rodentia; Muridae.